Long non-coding RNA from Setaria italica (foxtail millet), 911 nucleotides. RefSeq lists it as uncharacterized. The record is from RefSeq and is a predicted model, not a curated record. NCBI's taxonomy places the organism in Eukaryota, Viridiplantae, Streptophyta, Magnoliopsida, Poales, Poaceae. The transcript has 4 exons.
CAAACUUUAGUCGAAUUAAAGAUCCAAACACCUAGUCUCUCCCCUCUUGCAUUCACAGGCGAUUUGGCCUAUGUACUGCUCGAUUCCGGCGAUUUGGAGGAGGGGAAGCGCCAAUCCGAGGUGGAGAGCCGGGGUUGGGUCUGGAUCCUUCCGCGAGUUGUGCGAAUCGACUGUAUUUCAUUCCCCGCUCUAUCUAUCUCUAAGUUUUCAGUCGAUUUGCCUCACGAGUACUCGAAUCCAUCGAUUUCUUACAGGGGACUGUAAAUUGGAGGCGAGGAGUACGAGAGGUGGAUGGGUGCGCACGAAGGAAAAGUGCAAAUCGAAGAUGAAUCAUCGUUUAGGUCUUUUGGGGGGAUUUUGCAUUUGUUACUUCACAUGAAGGUGCUUAUUGCUGAUUCAGAAGCCUUGGCACAUCUUUUGGUUGAUCCGUGAGCCGAGCUACUCUAUUCUGUUCAGCAGAAAAAUGGGGCUACUCUCAUGUUAUAGCUUCCUUGACGUCAUUUGGGAAGAAUUUGCUUCCACGUGCGGCAGCUGAUGUAUCCCGUGUUACUGAUGUCACUGCAAAAGAAGGAGCCACAAGUCUCUGUAAGGUCAGGAAGUGGUCAGGAAGGGGAAGCAAAUGUGUAGUCAUCAUUUGUUUGCAGUCAUUGUUAAUGAACAUCAUUUUUCCUUGUGAUGUAAUGCAAACACACAUCAUACCAUUGUAUGCAGAUUAGAAUUAAUUGUCUGCAAAGGCCCAACUUAGUUAUGAUCAUUGCAUUGGCAGGUCAUAUGGUUGUGCACGGAGAAUGCAAAUACUUGAACUUGUAAUGGGUAUUAUUUAAGAAAAUCAGAUCAGGUUGCUUUUGUACGAAGAACUAAAAGCAAAAUAGUUUGAAGUAUACAUAGGGCUGCCAAAGAAUUUGCUGAGA